This 179-nucleotide unclassified non-coding RNA is filed under the name uncultured fungus. RNAcentral's name for it is "sequence contains ITS1, 5.8S rRNA gene". Lineage: Eukaryota; Fungi. The record is from RNAcentral.
ACAAAUCCGUUUGGAGGGGGGAGAAGAGGAGGGUGUACGUGUACACGCUUGCUCACUCACCCACCACAUGAACCGGGUCUCCGAGAGGAGAUUCGCCUGUGGGCAGCUAGCGUCAGCCGGUUGUCUGCAGAAAUAGGCUAUGUUUGUAUGUCUUAACUAUUAUAAUAUCUAAUUGUAAA